AUGGUGCAGCUCCGCAGCUCGCUCAGCAUGACCCGGGCGCGCGCUCGCGGCGGUGACUCGGACGACGCCGACGACCGCGGCUGGAACCAGCUCCACGUCGCCGCCCGCAAGGGCAACCUCAAGGAGGUGAGACGUCUCCUGAAUGAAGGGAUGGAUGUCAAUGCACCCGCAUGGGGACCAAAGUCUCCUGGCGCUACUCCGCUGCACCUUGCUGCUCAGGGCGGGCAUGUGAAAAUCAUGGAUGAACUACUGGAGCGCGGUGCAAAUAUCGAUGCCCGAACAAAAGGAGCUUGUGGCUGGACUCCCCUGCACAUUGCUGCCAAGGAAAGAAACAAGAGGGUGGUCAGGUUCCUUGUCGAGAAUGGCGCAUUCCUGCCCCCUGACCUGAACGACCACAGGUUCAACCCACCCCUCCACUACUGCUCUGGGCUGGAGUGGGCGUACGAGAUGAAGCGCAUGCAGGACGAGAGUGACUCGGGCGGUGAAGCUUCCUUCAGCUCGUCCAACUAG
This 510-nucleotide ribosomal RNA is filed under the name Triticum aestivum (bread wheat). RNAcentral's name for it is "partial small subunit ribosomal RNA". The record is from RNAcentral. Lineage: Eukaryota; Viridiplantae; Streptophyta; Magnoliopsida; Poales; Poaceae.